GAUUUGCAGGUGCCACGAGGAAAUGCUUAUGUCAAACCAUACGAGCGCACUUUUGCUUAGAAACUAUGGGAAAUUCCUGUGUAAGGUUGAGAAAGACCGCGAGAGUGGAGGAAUAUUACGGAGGAGUGAUCCUCGUUAAUCCCAGCGACGGCAAACUUCGUUCUCUGUACGAAGACGCCGAUUGGAGAAAAGAAGAAGAGAGAGCU
This is a non-coding RNA of Arachis ipaensis, 206 nucleotides long. The record is from RefSeq and is a predicted model, not a curated record. NCBI's taxonomy places the organism in Eukaryota, Viridiplantae, Streptophyta, Magnoliopsida, Fabales, Fabaceae.